This is a long non-coding RNA of Aedes albopictus (Asian tiger mosquito), 1296 nucleotides long. RefSeq lists it as uncharacterized. The record is from RefSeq and is a predicted model, not a curated record. Lineage: Eukaryota; Metazoa; Arthropoda; Insecta; Diptera; Culicidae. The transcript is spliced from 3 exons.
GAUUGAAGGUCGAUCGAAAAGUUUGUGUAAGCCCAGAUUGUGACUAUUAAGAGAAAAUUCAUUAAAUCUAAAUUGUAAUUUCAGUUUGAGAAACGUAAGGUGGAAUUUAAGAAAGCAAAAGUUGGCCCGGUAGCGAAAAGUUUUAAUCAGACAUUGUGAGUGACCUAGGACUGAAAAGUGUACAAGUAGAUAAUUGUUCAAUCUGUUUCCUAUUUCUAACAAUUCUCGCAGAAGAAACCUGGAAUUAAAUGGUCUGAAAGAAAAAAAAACUAAGAAAAGUGUAGUGUGGAAUACUGCACGUGUAAUACCUCCCUCGAGGCUCAGGACACUACUAUCCUUCAAGCGAAGGUGCUAGUGUAGGGUGUAGGGGAUAGCGACCAGCCACGCUGUCUCUAGGGACGAGUCAGAAGCUCGGCGACUUGUAGGCUCGCCUCGUCGUCCGCGCCAGUAUUCGACCCUCGCGCACCCUGGGCCGAAGGAAUCCACGCCUUCCGGAGGAAUUCGGACGCUACUAACCGAAUAUCGCUCCAUCGGUCUCGAAGGGAGAUUCACACCACGUGAGCGCAUUGGCACCGCCCAUCACCACCCCGCUUGUCGAACCCCAUCGAUCGGUGUUAGCAACACGAGAACGGCUCGUAGCCACGAGUGAUAAGCACAUAUGGUGGUGUGAUAGCCCGUCAUCGUAGUUCGACUGACAGCAUCCCCGGUCGAGCGAUCGGACUGCUCGAAUUACUUCGCUAGCCGAGAGCCGAACCCUCUCCGACCCGGCAUCACGAGUGAGCAGAGAGACGGUACCGCGCACGGUGUCACGUGUACGGAUCGACCGGUAGUCCACCGGAGUGACGACGACAUCACAAGGAUACAGCCAGGACCCUCACGGCUGCAAGCAGGUCAGAUCGUUUUGGUUUUUUUUUGUAUAUGAUAAUCGUUCGCAUUGAACACCCAUAGACCCAUUUUUGGUCGAAGAAGCGUGCACGCAUUAGGGAAUAAGAGAUAACUAGAGUGUAAGAUUUUAUUGCCCCCUACCUCAUUAUAAGAUGUUUUCACCCUGAAUAGAUUUAGAACCGUUUUAUGGCACAUACUAGUAAAUUAAUCGAAAGAGGAGAGAAAACUUGAUCAUUGGUUCAGUUGGUUUUCGUCAGAGAUUUGCCCCAUCGUUCGUUGGUUCGGAAUUGAUCUUAACUUGUGACAAGGACUCGCCUUGAGGAGUCUGGCCGGGAUACUCAAGCUGAUCCACAUGCAAGCCGAUUGGAAGUGCUUGCUUGGCGCUUAAGUGGAUGCAGUUGAUACCAAUCG